RNAcentral lists this long non-coding RNA (215 nucleotides) under Elaeis guineensis (African oil palm). Its description in RNAcentral is "long non-coding RNA (EGUI_LNC054087)". The record is from RNAcentral. Lineage: Eukaryota; Viridiplantae; Streptophyta; Magnoliopsida; Arecales; Arecaceae.
AAGGGAUGGUUAGGUAUUAGAGGAGCCAAUACUUUCCGAUUUAAUUUGUAACUUGUGAGUUUUUCAUUACACUGACAAUGAUAUUUGAUUUUAACUUAUAUGAUUUAAAUACUUUUUAGGCUGUAUCUCAUCAAAAUUGAGAGAACAAGACUACUCAGGAGUGCAUGCACACUCUCGACCAUGAGUACUCUAUGUCCAGUCAUGUGCAUAAAGAG